Long non-coding RNA from Prunus avium (sweet cherry), 1032 nucleotides. RefSeq lists it as uncharacterized. The record is from RefSeq and is a predicted model, not a curated record. NCBI's taxonomy places the organism in Eukaryota, Viridiplantae, Streptophyta, Magnoliopsida, Rosales, Rosaceae.
UCUCAUCUCUCUAUCACAUAUCUGAAGCACCAUCUCCCUCGCGCUCUCGUGGUCACCGAGCUCGCGUUGUCGAUGUCACAAGCUCGCCGAGCUCGCCAUUUCCCUCAUGUUACUACGCUUUCCAAAUUCGUGUGUCAGAGUUCUGUGGUAGGUGGCAUUCAAGGUUAGCCUCUUUACCCUCAGCCUCCUCACCUUCUCCCUCUCUUUCUCUCAUUUCUUUGAUUCCCAAAUAUCAGAAUCCCUAAUUUCUUCCACUAUUUCUUCAAUUCCCAAAUUAGACACAUAAAUUAGAGGAUCUAAAACACAAAUUUCAUCCUCUUCCUCUUUUUAAGGGUUUAUUGGAAGAUGAUUUGAUGCCCGUUGAGCGUUGCUUACUGGGAAAAUAGCGGAGUAGAACAACAAAAUCAGCUGGGAAAUUUGGCGUUUUGUUAUUUGCUCAACAGUAAAAAUUGAAGGGAUUUGUAGGAAGCAAGAUUGAGAAAGAGACUUUAAAGCAUAAUCUUUAACACCGAGGAAUUAAUGGUUAUAAAAAUCAAGUUUUUCUUAUUGGUGAUAUAAAGAUGGAAGCAGAGAGUCAAAUGAGGGAGGUAAAAUAUGCUGCUGAUAUUUGCUCUAUUAGGGAAGCAGAAGCACGCAUCAAGCCAUUCAUACACCAAACUCCUGUCUUGUCCUCUGAAUCUUUGAAUGCUCUUGCAGGAAGACAGCUGUUUUUCAAAUGUGAAUGUUUUCAAAAGGGGUUGCUCCAGUGCUUCUCACACUGCCAUGCAUAUUCAUUUUCCCAACUGAGUUUGCUAUAUGGGAUUCUAUUUCAGCUUUUUUAUGGGUUGGUGGGAAGCUGGACUGCUUAUCUCAUCAGUCUGCUAUAAGUUGAUACAGAACUAGAAGGGAAAGAGAAAAGGUUGAUUUUAGGAAUCAUGUAAUUUAGUAUACUCCGUUAUUUAGGAAGUAUGUAUGUGAUAGGAAAAAAGAUUGAUUAACUAUGUAAUAAUAUUGAAUCUUCAAGUUUUAUGAAAUAAAUAAUUUUUGAGUGUA